Molecule: ribosomal RNA, 468 nt
Filed under: uncultured bacterium
Lineage: Bacteria
Description: partial 16S ribosomal RNA
Rfam family: Bacterial small subunit ribosomal RNA
Source: RNAcentral
GACGAACGCUGGCGGCGUGCUUAACACAUGCAAGUCGAACGGAAAGGCCCUGCUUUCGUGGGGUGCUCGAGUGGCGAACGGGUGAGUAACACGUGAGUAACCUGCCCUUGACUUUGGGAUAACUUCAGGAAACUGGGGCUAAUACCGGAUAGGAGCUCCUGCUGCAUGGUGGGGGUUGGAAAGUUUCGGCGGUUGGGGAUGGACUCGCGGCUUAUCAGCUUGUUGGUGGGGUAGUGGCUUACCAAGGCUUUGACGGGUAGCCGGCCUGAGAGGGUGACCGGCCACAUUGGGACUGAGGUACGGCCCAGACUCCUACGGGAGGCAGAAGUGGGGAAUAUUGCACAAUGGGCGGAAGCCUGAUGCAGCAACGCCGCGUGCGGGAUGACGGCCUUCGGGUUGUAAACCGCUUUCGCCUGUGACGAAGCGUGAGUGACGGUAAUGGGUAAAGAAGCACCGGCUAACUACGUG